Long non-coding RNA from Dermacentor andersoni, 1699 nucleotides. RefSeq lists it as uncharacterized. Lineage: Eukaryota; Metazoa; Arthropoda; Arachnida; Ixodida; Ixodidae. The record is from RefSeq and is a predicted model, not a curated record.
UCUGUGCUCGGAAAUGCGAGCGCAAGCACGUAGCGAGCCACGCUAAUCCAAUGCCGAAGGCAGCGAAGGAAGCAGCGCGCGCCGCGAACUUGUGAAGCUCAGCAUUACCGACCGUCGGACAGUGUCUGCAGGAGCGGCAGCAAUAACACUGCUUUAAGUUCGGUUGCGACCACUGACAAAAGUAUCGCUAUAGCAUGAAAGUCGCCUCAACACCGUUCGUUGACCUCCCAAAUCGGGAAAUAUCUGCUAUAAUGGCUUCACAUAUAGUUCGUGGAAGUGUGUCCACUCCACUAAUAGGCAUCAAGGUAACGCAAGUAUCCAUGGCAGGCAGCAAACAAGUGCGGUCGCCGAAGCAAACUGCCGCCUGCUGCUGAGGCCUCUUUUGCACAUUGAUGAACAUACCUUAGCAAACAGCACAAAUAGCGGGACACAGAAAAGUGGCACAUGAUGCAGGCGCUAACAGAAAAAGGGCACAUGUAUGUGUCCGUACCAACAAGCCCGGCUAGCCACUGUUCUGGUGACAUUAAAGAGCAGAAUUUUAUUAUGCUGUGUCAAGGGAAGUCACAAGGGAGUAAAACUAUACUAAAAGAAAGUCAUCACCAGCUCUAAGCAUAGCAUUUCAUGAAAACUUGAACUUUUAAUGUGGCUGAAAAUUUUGGCACUGCAUGCAAUUUCGAGUGCAAAAAAUGCCACCUUUACACAUUAGCUAAAUGUAACAUACAAUUUCAUGGUUAAGAAGUUUAGUAUUGUGUGACUCAUUUCAUUGUUCCUGUGUGAAAGUUAAGUUACUUUUGCAUGUAUUGUUUUGGUUGAAUGUGUAUAACAUAUUUAAAAUUCUUUUUUAUGUAAAUUAAUUUAACCGUCAGUUGGCCUUCAUUCUGUUUUUAUUGAAUGGUAUCUGCGCUGCACCAUACCAUCUAACAGUCAAGACAGCACUAUUGACUGCACAGAGUAGUGUGCAGUCAAUAGGUAGUCUGCAUCUUUUUUCAUUUUUGUUGUUUCCGACCAUAUGAUUUUUUUUUUUUUUUGAGCACCUGUCUUCACUCGGAGGUCGCAUUUGAAGUUUUGUGUAAGCUGUCAUUGUUCAUAUGACAGUCUACCUUUCUCGCUGCAAGGGCAAAAUCUUAGGUGGAUUCAUAGCUGUCAUGAAAUGUGAGCUUGAAGUAAUGUAGAGUUCAUUUAGCUGUAGAGAGACAUCAAUUACAAUAAAUUUAUGACAAGAAACAAGGUUAAAAUAAGGUCCAUUUUGUUUGUUGAAUAGUGAGCUGUCACAUUUCAACUGGUUCCAUUACAUAAGCCAACGCAGCUUAAGGCUUUAAUAGCCAAUGCGCUAGUAUUUUGCUAUUCUAAAUUAAGUAGUCAUUUGUGCUACCUGCAUCAGCUGAUAAGUGUUUUCUGAAUUUCAGAGGUGGCUAGGAAUGGCCCAAUUAGAGCUACUAUGCUGUGACACUCUGUCAAAACAGUGGCAGACUGGCUGAUAACACUGCUGCUUUAGCGUUGUCUGGGCCUCAAAGAAUACUAGAAACCAUUGAGCCUGCCAACUCUGUGUUAGCAGCUGCAUCAUUCCCUGAGGUGGCACAAAAAAGGAAGUUCCGUAGCUGUGAUAUCAUCGACCAACUUUCUACGUGCGAGUCCCACUUGUCCGUAGAAGAUUGUAACAGAGUAUUCCAGGGUGAAAAUCAAGUCUUUCCGGUCAGCA